UACGGAGGGUGCGAGCGUUGUUCGGAAUCACUGGGCGUAAAGCGAGUGUAGGCGGCCCACUAAGUCUGAUGUGAAAGCCCGGGGCUCACCCCCGGAAGUGCAUUGGAAACUGGUGGACUCGAGUCCCGGAGAGGAGAGUGGAAUUCCUGGUGUAGCGGUGAAAUGCGUAGAUAUCAGGAGGAACACCGGUGGCGAAGGCGGCUCUCUGGACGGUGACUGACGCUGAGACGCGAAAGCGUGGGGAGCAAACAGG
This 253-nucleotide ribosomal RNA is filed under the name uncultured bacterium. RNAcentral describes it as "partial 16S ribosomal RNA". It matches the Rfam family "Bacterial small subunit ribosomal RNA", at positions 524 to 776 of the family's 1533-position model. The record is from RNAcentral.